Bos taurus (domestic cattle) is the source of this 508-nucleotide long non-coding RNA. Lineage: Eukaryota; Metazoa; Chordata; Mammalia; Artiodactyla; Bovidae. The record is from Ensembl.
GCUCAUUUAAGUGUUUAGUUUCCGUAGAGCAUAAAGCCCUGGAAAAAAGCCAAUGAUAACAGUAGAUCUGGAAAAGCUAUUUUUAAUAUGCACUAGAAGACGGCUGGCUUUGUCUAGUGAUUCACUACCCCGAGAAAGAAAAAAAUGUACAUAAAAAAGCAGUUUUCUUGGAACUGGACCUUGGAGAAGUAGAGUACAAUAAAAGGAGCUUCUGGCUAGAGUGUUUGAUGCCUCAUGAGUCACAGUGUGAAGGUACCUUUCUUUUGUGGGCAGCCGCGACAGCGCACAGAGCACGACCGAGAGGAGCUACCCCACGUCCGAGGUCAGGGGCAGAAGCUGGGAGGACCCCAUGCCCGAGGGUCGGCAGCCAAGAGGAGUUACCCUACGUCCGAGGUCAGGUGCAGCAGCCCAGAGUGCCAGGCUGUGACGGCGCAGGAACUGCUGAGAGGAGCUACCCACUGCCCGAGGCCAGGGGGCGGUGGCUGAGACGAGCAACCCCACGUCCAAG